RNAcentral lists this long non-coding RNA (1670 nucleotides) under Portunus trituberculatus (swimming crab). RNAcentral's name for it is "uncharacterized LOC123503042, transcript variant X3". Lineage: Eukaryota; Metazoa; Arthropoda; Malacostraca; Decapoda; Portunidae. The record is from RNAcentral.
GCUGGAGGCGGCAGGCGGGCGGGUGGCUGGUGGCUGGCUGGCUGGCUGGUGGCUGGCUGGUAAAAUGAAGCAGGAAGUAUCUCAGCAUGGUGCCAAAGCCAUUGCCUGGGGCCGCUGUCUCCCGCUGGCUGGCUGGCUGGCUGACUGGCUCGCUGGCUGGCUGACUACACCACACCACACCGCCGCCACCACCAGCAGGGCACUCUAUCCUGGUCCCCAAGCCGCCAACACACGCUCUGCCUUCCCUGCGUGGCGGAGGCUGCAGAAGGCGCUGGUGGUGGAGGCGCUGGUGGUGGUAGUAGUGGUGGUGAUGGUGGUGAUGGUGGUGGUGGUGGUGGUUUGGUUGGAGCGUGAGGUGUUUGUUUAGCGCGUGUCCUGUUCAUUGCUGAAGUGUGUAGGGGAGGGAUUGGAAGGCACCCUCUUCGUCACCAACCACCACCACCACCACCACCACCACCACCAAGAGCGAAUGAAAAGGAUUAACGAUUGGGAAUUUUUCUUAAUACAGGAUGGUCAAGAUGAACUGUUGGUGGUGGGGAGGACAGGAUGAACGAGGACGCGAGGACUGGCUGAUGAAGAGCAUAAUUUUCUCCACCUCGCGUCUCAGAGAAGGUGAUUCGAAGCAGUGCAGUGAAGCAACACCAGUGGACGAUACGAUUGUUUGCCCGCCACAUUCCCGCUACCAAGUAAGACCAGCGGAUUCCAGGCAGAUUCCAGAUGGCCCAUUCCAAGACUCCAGAUUAUAGAAGCAGAAACAAGUAAAAAAUGAUGAAAAAAAGGAAGGAAAAGAAAAGGAAAGCUGGAUAAGCGGGACAUUAACCUUGCAGCUGCCAUACCUCCCCCCCUCUCACGGCCGCCUCCUACAUGUCCAGGUGGGGGGGGUGGGGAGUAUUACAGGUGUUCGGCUCUAUGUUGCACAGAACAAGUGGAAACAAACAACUCAAGACAGUAUUUCUAACAAUUCUAGCUCGCCUGACACUAACCACUCAACCAGUCACCCAGCCGCCCAGUCACCCAGUCACCCAACCACCUCCAGCAGCUGUGGAUGCGAGUCAAAAGUCAGCUCGUGGCAGCGGGGAGGCGCGGGGUCAGCUGUGCAUUGGUUCAGAGGCAGCGAGGCGGGACGCGCGUUGCAUUAUAGACACAGCGCAGCCACCGUCUUAAUAUUAGGAACCUCUGAGGCUUUUGUUGAUUCCGCUCUGCUUAUUGUCCACUGACCUUUAACCAUCUUGUGUCGCUUCUAAAGAAUGAGGAGAGAGAAGAAAAGGAGCAGACUAGGAAGAUGAUGAUAGGACGAAGAGUAAAAGAUGAAGCGAAAGAAGAGCAGAUAAGUCUCUCUCUCUCUCUCUGCCCACAAUGUCAAACCCACAGUAACACCCAACAAAGUACAUUUCUAUAUUAAUUGCAUCCUAUCUAUUGCAGAAAAGGAAGAGCAGGAUAGGAGUAUAAAAGGACAAAAGAUAAAGGUAAGAGAAGGAGGAAGAAAAGAUAAGAGGAAGAAAACGACAAAAAGAAUUAUUAACAAGAUAAAUCAAUAGCAACAUAAGAAAUUAACCUCACUCCCUCUCAGCCCACAGCCCCACAUUGUUGACAAACCCAGUCACACCCCAUAGAUACCCCCCCUAUAAUAAUUCUCCAGUCAACCCCCACAGGGCCAGCCCCAACACACA